AAUGUACACAAUUAUAAAGUUUAAGCUCAAAUUGAAUUUUAAAUUCAAUUUUAUAAAGGUUUAUUAUUUAUCAAAUUAGCACUAUCUAAUUUGGUAAGUAACAAAAUUAAAUAAGGAAACAAAUAUUUGUGUAGGGUUAAUCAAAUUUGGUAAUUAGCUUGUUUUUGUUUUCCCAUAUUAUCCUUACGAACGGUAACCUGUUGAGCAAGUAACUAUUUUGCAAAAGUCAAUCUCGUCUUUAAAAUAUGAACGGCUAGAUUUAAUUUAGCCGGUGUAUUGAAGCAAUCCUCAUAUUUUAUAUCAAAUUCAAUCGUCAGUUUUAUAGUGU
This 328-nucleotide long non-coding RNA is filed under the name Ananas comosus (pineapple). Its description in RNAcentral is "long non-coding RNA (ACOM_LNC008866)". Lineage: Eukaryota; Viridiplantae; Streptophyta; Magnoliopsida; Poales; Bromeliaceae. The record is from RNAcentral.